Molecule: ribosomal RNA, 460 nt
Filed under: uncultured bacterium
Lineage: Bacteria
Description: partial 16S ribosomal RNA
Rfam family: Bacterial small subunit ribosomal RNA
Source: RNAcentral
CCUACGUGAGGCAGCAGUGAGGAAUAUUGGUCAAUGGGCGCGAGCCUGAACCAGCCAAGCCGCGUGAAGGAUGACUGCCCUACGGCUUUUAAACUUCUUUUAUAAAGGAAUAAAGUGAUCCCCUUGUGCCUUUUUGUAUUUACUUUAUCAAUAACGAUCGCCUACCCCCGUCCCAGCCGCGCCGGUAAUACGGAGGAUCCGGCCGUUACCCGUAUUUAUUGGGUUUAAAGGGAGCGUGGAUGGGGUGUUAAGUCAGUUGUGAAAGUGUGCGGCUCACCGGUAGAAGUGCAAUUGAUACUGGCAGUCUGGAGGGCAGAUGAGGUAGGCGGAAUUCGUGGUGUAGCGGUGAAAUGCAUAGAUAUCACGAAGAACACCGAUUGCGAAGGCAGCUUACUAAACUGCGACUGACACUGAUGCACGAAAGUGUGGGUAUCAAACAGGAUUAGAUACCCGUGUAGUC